GAUAGAUUCUGCCUGCCGUAUCAUUUGCAUUUUGCAAACGUUAAUUUAUUAAUAAAAUGUGUUUGUGCAUUGAAAACUGAUAAAAAUAUUAUUAUCAAUACGAAAAAUUUACACCUGUUAAUUAGAGAUAAGGGGAAGAAGACAUAUUAGUUAUGAUAUUGGCUGAAACUUUGUUGUUCUCUCUAUCUCUGAUCGGUUGCGGUGCAAUUUUAUUUCUGUUAGUUUACUAUAUAAUAACGCUGUCUGACUUGGAAUGUGAUUAUUUGAAUGCUCAGGAGUGUUGUGAGAAAUUAAACUACUGGCUAUUGCCUAAAUAUAUUGCGCACUCGUUCAUAACAUUCCUAUUGCUACUUCAUGGGCAGCUGGUUCUAUUUCUGAUUAAUCUGCCUAUGUUUAUAUGGCUCACGUUUGAAUAUCUGACCAUACCUCAAGGAAACUUAGGAGCUUACGAUCCAGCUGAGAUACACAAUCGAGGUAACCUAAAGAAACACCUGAGAGAUGUUAUGAUAUACAUUGGGUACUAUCUCAUAUUCUUUUUCAUAUACCUCUACUGUUUCAUCCUUGCUCUAUUGAAAGGGGACCCAUUACAAAGGCAUGCUGAUGAUGAAAUUAUAACUAAAAUGUAAAAAUGUCUGAUAAUUCAGUAGAUAGUAUUGAUUUGGGAGAAGCUCAGGACUUAAGUGACUCAGACAGCAGUUCUAACGAUGAUCCUGGCCCUGCACCAUGUGUGAAAGUGCCUCUACCAGAGAACAUAGCAGCUUAUGUUGAGAAUGUUGAAUUGAUGCGUGAUAUUGAACCAGUUGAUUGUAAUAGCAAUCUUAUUGAGAAUGUAAUGAAUAACUAUGUUAUUGUUAAGAAGAUUAUUAGUAGUCUACCAUGGCAAGAGAAGAUGCUAUGUAAACAUGUGUGCCAAACAUGGCAUUCAGCUGUGCUAGCCCUCCAAAAGGAACAGCUCAGUCCUGCAGACUUUGUGAUAGAUUUACAACUCGCUUCAAUAAAAAAUGGUGUGAAAUAUAAGGUGUCUGGUGUGUAUUACACUGAGCCGCUAGUCAUUUUCACAUUUACAAAUACCCCAGCUGGGUUUGGGAUUACUAACAGAUGCUUGGAGUUGGUACCUUCCCCAUGUGAUCCACCAUGUGAUAAAGAACAUUGUUUAAUUGAUUAUAUCCAUCGUGAUACUACUGCACCAAAAGAUUGUAUGCUAACAGUGAGGGCAGGCUACCUCUCAUACAUGCCACUGCCACAUUCAAUCACAGCUAAGCAUACAAUCACGCAACGCAUGUUUCGAAGAUCAAACGCAUUUAUUGGUGGAAUUUACAUACCAAAAAUUCCAGAUGUCCAAUUUCAUGUGAUCAAUAUAAAGACUAAUACAGACAUGCAGAAGGAAUACUUUGAUGUAAUUUCAAAUCUGGCUCAGGACCACAUCUUCAAGGGUAUUUUAAUUUAUGUGACUGAAAAGUUUCUUCUACAUUCAGAAAUUGGAGAAUGUGCUUACCUAAAUUAUUUUAAGGAAGUACAACCAGAUGUACCUUACGCACUUGGAGGCUGUAUUGUUGAAGACACUAUGUGCGAACUCAGUAACAUAGCACCACUGGUGGACUGCAGAAAUGAAGGAAAUUAUUUUGUCAGUGAAAAUCUCAUAACUAUAGGGAUGUUCACAGUGCCUAAAAAUACUAAUGCUGCAGAUCAAAACCACAAAAUAAACUUUGAUAUGUACUCUCUUAUACUGGAAUCAUCAGAUUGGACUAAAGCAAAAAUACAGAAGACUAUUAAUGAGUUCUCCAAAAAAGUCCCGCGUUUCGAGAACAGUGUGGUAUUAAAGCUGUCAUGCGUUGGACGCGAUCAGAAGCACGAAUUAGAAGAAGACUACUUCAGAGCCGAAUUCCCCACUAGCAGGCUGGUGGGUUGCUUCGGUAACGGGGAGUUGGGGGUCAACCACCCGGUACGACCCGCCGAUGACGCCCCGCCAUCGAAAAGACAUCGACAUGAUCCGGGACCCGAGUUUGGAUUGAUAUACUCAUAUUCUACAGUGUUUGUGUAUAUUGGAUGGGGGAAAAUCACGUCACCUGAAGGACCUAAUCAUUAAGAAAUUAAUGAGGAUAAUCAUUGCUUAGUUACUAAAGAUCUGUCUGAGAACUGUGCAAUACUGAACUUAAGUCGCCAAUUUAUUGGAGUGAUUUUAAUAUAAGGGAAUGCCUAGUAAAUAUGUAGGUACUGGGUAUUAUUGAUGUGAUAGUACUUAUGCUUCCGAAAAUUUAUUUAGUUGUAUUAUUAUUUUGUUGUCAUUGUGAUUAUAUCAUGAAUCUAUAGUGCUUAAACAUUAUGCUAUUGUAAAAAUGCGUACUAUCGCAUAAUGGUCUUAGUUCAAGUUUUUAGUAUGUAAAUUAAUGAAAUAUCAACCAGAAAUAAGUUUAGAUUUCUCAAGUGAAUAAAAUAAUUAUCUCUGUAAACGACACGCUUAGACACUCAAUAAAUUAGCUUAAUAUGAAUAAUAUCCAAAUAUUAAAAGAAAACAUUUCAUUAUGGAUGUAAUGAUAAGUAUGUAGGUACCAUGUGAUUUUCAGAUUACUAGCAUUUUGAGAAGUUAUCUAUUAUUACCUACACAUACACUUAAGAAUAUUCCUUUUAUUGAAUUUAAUUUGUAGACAUCGAUAAAAAGUACAAUAUAAGCUUUUCAAUCUCAAACUGCAUAAUUUUGUAAGAUUUUGAUAUGUAAGUAAGGUUUGCAGAAUAGGUUAAGUGAAUAAAAUUAUCUUUCUGGAUUUUUAUUAAUAUCAUGUGAAAAAUAUCUAUCAGUAAGAAUAAUAUUGUAGCAUGAAAUUAUUUAAGAACAUAACGUUUUAGAUAUUACAUAUUCUGACUUGUGCACGAUUAAUGAAUACAUUUUUAAAUA
Molecule: RNA transcript, 2893 nt
Organism: Ostrinia nubilalis (European corn borer)
Lineage: Eukaryota; Metazoa; Arthropoda; Insecta; Lepidoptera; Crambidae
Exons: 4
Source: RefSeq, a predicted model, not a curated record